GGCGUCAGGAUAACAAAACAGUCAUUAUAUAGUUCUUGCUAACUUACGCACGUGCAUUUACACACACUCCGUUGGUGACCUGCAACCCCCAUAAACUUCUCACACUGUUUAUCACCUUCUGGCUCAGCCUGUUCCUUUCCUUCAAGGUUAGGACCUCUCUGAAGUUUUACUCCCUUGACCAUCUGCUUCUCUAUCUCUCUAUACUAAUUGCAUACACACAUUUCUUUCCCUCUCCAGUGGUUCCUGGACUUUCCGGAACUAAUCAGACCAAUCGAUCCCUACAUUGAUCAUUACAUUGAUUAUUCAUUAAACCUGCUGUAUGACUAAUAAUUCAUCAUGGUUUAUUGAUUCAUUUACAUUUAUUAGAUAAUUCUCUUAUCAAUCUGUCAGUAAGAUAUGUCUACAUGGGUAUUGGGAUCUGACCUCAUUGAUCUGUCAGUAAGCUAUGUUUACAUGGGUAUUGGGAUCUCAGCUACAGUAUAAUCCAGCAAAGGAGUCCUACCAGCUAGCAGUGUAACGAACCUUGUCUGAUAACCAAUCAACCAUGACUUGAGCCUGUCGCCUGCAGUCCUUGGAGAAAAGUAGCUUUUUUUUCUGGUAAAGUUACACUGGGUACAUGGGCCACAUCAAUAAUAUACUGUCCGGCACAUUGUCUAGGAAAGUACUACGUGGCUGUGGUGGAAGAUCAGACCUCACCACCAUUUGACUGAUGUUGGGGGCGUGUCUGAAGGCUACCCGUCGGGGUUCUUUAAUCGUCUUUUCCACUUGAGGAUCAAUGAUCAAGACGUGCCAGUGUUUUAAUGAUGUGGUCCAACUGUUUACCAAGUGGGGAGUACUGAAGGAAGCAUUGAACAUGUUGGUCUGGAGGGAGGGGAGGUUUGGGGAGAACUGAAGGAAGCAUUGAACAUGUUGGUCUGGAGGGAGGGGAGGUUUGGGGAGAACUGAAGGAAGCAUUGAACAUGUUGGUCUGGAGGGAGGGGAGGUUUGGGGAGAACUGAAGGAAGCAUUGAACAUGUUGGUCUGGAGGGAGGGGAGGUUUGGGGAGUACUGAAGGAAGCAUUGAACAUGUUGGUCUGAAGGGAGGGGAGGUUUGGGGAGUACUGAAGGAAGC
Molecule: long non-coding RNA, 1111 nt
Filed under: Salmo salar (Atlantic salmon)
Lineage: Eukaryota; Metazoa; Chordata; Actinopteri; Salmoniformes; Salmonidae
Description: lncRNA (ENSSSAG00000113236.1)
Source: RNAcentral